RNAcentral lists this ribosomal RNA (1437 nucleotides) under uncultured bacterium. RNAcentral describes it as "16S ribosomal RNA". It matches the Rfam family "Bacterial small subunit ribosomal RNA". The record is from RNAcentral.
AGAGUUUGAUCCUGGCUCAGGAUGAACUGCCGGCGGUGUGCCUAAUACAUGCAAGUCGUACGCACUGGCCCAACUGAUUGAUGGUGCUUGCACCGGAUUGACGAUGGAUCACCAGUGAGUGGCGGACGGGUGAGUAACACGUAGGUAACCUGCCCCGGAGCGGGGGAUAACAUUUGGAAACAGAUGCUAAUACCGCAUAACAACAAAAGCCACAUGGCUUUUGUUUGAAAGAUGGCUUUGGCUUUCACUCUGGGAUGGACCUGCGGUGCAUUAGCUAGUUGGUAAGGUAACGGCUUACCAAGGCGAUGAUGCAUAGCCGAGUUGAGAGACUGAUCGGCCACAAUGGAACUGAGACACGGUCCAUACUCCUACGGGAGGCAGCAGUAGGGAAUCUUCCACAAUGGGCGCAAGCCUGAUGGAGCAACACCGCGUGAGUGAAGAAGGGUUUCGGCUCGUAAAGCUCUGUUGUUGGAGAAGAACGUGCGUGAGAGUAACUGUUCACGCAGUGACGGUAUCCAACCAGAAAGUCACGGCUAACUACGUGCCAGCAGCCGCGGUAAUACGUAGGUGGCAAGCGUUAUCCGGAUUUAUUGGGCGUAAAGCGAGCGCAGGCGGUUGCUUAGGUCUGAUGUGAAAGCCUUCGGCUUAACCGAAGAAGUGCAUCGGAAACCGGGCGACUUGAGUGCAGAAGAGGACAGUGGAAACUCCAUGUGUAGCGGUGGAAUGCGUAGAUAUAUGGAAGAACACCAGUGGCGAAGGCGGCUGUCUGGUCUGCAAACUGACGCUGAGGCUCGAAAGCAUGGGUAGCGAACAGGAUUAGAUACCCUGGUAGUCCAUGCCGUAAACGAUGAGUGCUAGGUGUUGGAGGGUUUCCGCCCUUCAGUGCCGGAGCUAACGCAUUAAGCACUCCGCCUGGGGAGUACGACCGCAAGGUUGAAACUCAAGGGAAUUGACGGGGGCCCGCACAAGCGGUGGAGCAUGUGGUUUAAUUCGAAGCUACGCGAAGAACCUUACCAGGUCUUGACAUCUUGCGCUAACCUUAGAGAUAAGGCGUUCCCUUCGGGGACGCAAUGACAGGUGGUGCAUGGUCGUCGUCAGCUCGUGUCGUGAGAUGUUGGGUUAAGUCCCGCAACGAGCGCAACCCUUGUUACUAGUUGCCAGCAUUAAGUUGGGCACUCUAGUGAGACUGCCGGUGACAAACCGGAGGAAGGUGGGGACGACGUCAGAUCAUCAUGCCCCUUAUGACCUGGGCUACACACGUGCUACAAUGGAUGGUACAACGAGUCGCAAGCUCGCGAGAGUAAGCUAAUCUCUUAAAGCCGUUCUCAGUUCGGACUGUAGGCUGCAACUCGCCUACACGAAGUCGGAAUCGCUAGUAAUCGCGUAUCAGAAUGCCGCGGUGAAUACGUUCCCGGGUCUUGUACACAACGCCCGUCA